This 468-nucleotide ribosomal RNA is filed under the name Kluyveromyces marxianus. Its description in RNAcentral is "eukaryotic LSU rRNA". It matches the Rfam family "Eukaryotic large subunit ribosomal RNA", at positions 120 to 629 of the family's 3401-position model. The record is from RNAcentral. Lineage: Eukaryota; Fungi; Ascomycota; Saccharomycetes; Saccharomycetales; Saccharomycetaceae.
AUCUGGCGUCUUCGACGUCCGAGUUGUAAUUUGAAGAAGGCGACUUUGUAGCUGGUCCUUGUCUAUGUUCCUUGGAACAGGACGUCAUAGAGGGUGAGAAUCCCGUGUGGCGAGGAUCCCAGUUAUUUGUAAAGUGCUUUCGACGAGUCGAGUUGUUUGGGAAUGCAGCUCUAAGUGGGUGGUAAAUUCCAUCUAAAGCUAAAUAUUGGCGAGAGACCGAUAGCGAACAAGUACAGUGAUGGAAAGAUGAAAAGAACUUUGAAAAGAGAGUGAAAAAGUACGUGAAAUUGUUGAAAGGGAAGGGCAUUUGAUCAGACAUGGCGUUUGCUUCGGCUUUCGCUGGGCCAGCAUCAGUUUUAGCGGUUGGAUAAAUCCUCGGGAAUGUGGCUCUGCUUCGGUAGAGUGUUAUAGCCCGUGGGAAUACAGCCAGCUGGGACUGAGGAUUGCGACUUUUGUCAAGGAUGCUGG